AAGUCGUAACAAGGUUUCCGUAGGUGAACCUGCGGAAGGAUCAUUAACGAGUUAGGGUCCUCUGGGCCCGACCUCCCACCCUCUGUUGUCGAACGAAUCUGUUGCUUUGGCGGUGCCGCCGCCGGGUCCGCCCGGUGAGCAGCCCGCCGAGGGUCCAAACCACAACUCUUUGACAUCAACCGUGCGGUCUGAGCGAAUUUUUAAAUAAAUCAAAACUUUCAACAACGGAUCUCUUGGUUCUG
RNAcentral lists this unclassified non-coding RNA (242 nucleotides) under fungal sp. RNAcentral describes it as "partial internal transcribed spacer region". The stretch from base 1 to 46 matches the Rfam family "Eukaryotic small subunit ribosomal RNA", at positions 1786 to 1831 of the family's 1831-position model. The record is from RNAcentral. Lineage: Eukaryota; Fungi.